RNAcentral lists this ribosomal RNA (430 nucleotides) under uncultured archaeon. Its description in RNAcentral is "bacterial SSU rRNA". It matches the Rfam family "Archaeal small subunit ribosomal RNA", at positions 474 to 903 of the family's 1478-position model. The record is from RNAcentral.
UACCAGCUCUCCGAGUGGUAGGGAUGAUUAUUGGGCUUAAAGCGUCCGUAGCCGGCUUAGCAAGUUUCCUGUUAAAUUCAGCGACCUAAUCGUUGAGCCGCGGGAAAUACUACUAGGCUAGGAGGCGGGAGAGGUCGACGGUACUUCUGGGGUAGGGGUGAAAUCCUACAAUCCCGGGAGGACCACCAGUGGCGAAGGCUGUCGACUAGAACGCGCUCGACGGUGAGGGACGAAAGCUGGGGUAGCGAACCGGAUUAGAUACCCGGGUAGUCCCAGCUGUAAACGAAUGCGGGCUAGGUGUUGGGAUGGCUACGGGCCAUUUCAGUGCCGCAGGGAAGCCAUUAAGCCCGCCGCCUGGGGAGUACGGGCCGCAAGGCUGAAACUUAAAGGAAUUGGCGGGGAGCACCACAAGGCGUGAAGCUUGCGGUUC